UCUCUUUGUAUUUGCUCUAGGGGACUUGUAGUAGUAGUUGGUUGUAAAUGGUUAACAGGUUGGGUAUGGGCAUUAACAGGUGUAAAUGCAGGUUUAGUUGGAUCUAAGGGUGUAGUAGGAUUCAAGGGUGUAGUAGGAGUUGAAGGUGUAGUGGGACUUGGGGGUGUAGUGGGAUUUAGGGGUGUAGUGGCAUUUAAGGGUGUAGUAGGAGUUGAAGGUGUAGUGGGAUUUGGGGUUGUAAUAGGAUUCGAGGGUGUAGUGGGACUUGGGGGUGUAGUGGGAUUUAGGGGUGC
This is a non-coding RNA of Paramuricea clavata, 293 nucleotides long. NCBI's taxonomy places the organism in Eukaryota, Metazoa, Cnidaria, Anthozoa, Malacalcyonacea, Plexauridae. The record is from the annotation of a GenBank genome assembly.